AGGGUUUUCUUCCAUCGCUUGAGG
Molecule: non-coding RNA, 24 nt
Filed under: Arabidopsis thaliana (thale cress)
Lineage: Eukaryota; Viridiplantae; Streptophyta; Magnoliopsida; Brassicales; Brassicaceae
Source: RNAcentral